RNAcentral lists this long non-coding RNA (1005 nucleotides) under Marmota monax (woodchuck). The record is from RNAcentral. Lineage: Eukaryota; Metazoa; Chordata; Mammalia; Rodentia; Sciuridae.
GCCAAAGUAGGUAUAGAAGUAGAUUGCAGAAAUUAGGGAGGCCAUGAGUUCUCCUUGUCCCAAGUGAAGUUUGCUUCAUCAGAGAGGACAGUGUGGAGGGUGAUAUUUAGACAGAGAUUUUUAGAAGACAGUCCAUCCUUACCUAUGCCAAGCAGUUGUUAACAUGUGACUUCCUUAAAGAUGCAGUGUCUUUGCUCACUACCUUCAGUAACUGACUCAGUGACUUUGGGGUGAUGCCACUUGAUGACAGUGAAAGGGUGCACAUGGACUAGAGUGGGAGAGAGAGUAAUCAGGAAAAUUCUUUGAAUUUUCUUUUGGAACUUGGGAAAAAGGAAGAGAAGCAACUCUUCCUUUGCCCAGGUUAAGGAGCUUUUCUGACCCUUUCUCUUUUUGUUCUUGCUGAUGAUGGAACAACCCAAAGUUCCACCCACAAGACAGAGCCCUACUCCUCUUGCCCAGAAAUGUGACACAUGUAAGAUAGAUAAAGAUGUUGGCUGGGUUUGACUGGACACCCUAAUACACUUCAGUUAUUUUGUUCUUGACUUCAUGCCACACUCUUUCUCAUGUGAGUUUGGUUGGAGGAAAAUUUUGGAACAUUACACAUGGUCUCUGCAGGAAAUUUCAGGAAUUGUUCUCCAGAAGAAUCCCCAACCUUUGGCACUGAGUGAGGCUUGUAUGAUGCUCCCAGACCCCCAGAUUACAGAGUGCUGCUGAGCUGGAUGUUAGGUGAGAUGACAGGAGGUUACAAUUCUUACCUGUCCAGUUAAUUACGUGACCUGUGCUUCACCAAAGCACUUAGACUGGUGAUGGAAGUGGAGCCUUCUUCCACAUGCCUCUGUGGAAGCUUUUUUUACUUUAGGACGGUAUCCUCUUUAAUCAGAUACCAGGAGAGAUGGUGAGGAAUGGGUGGUUGUACAAAAAUCACCCUUAGUGUUCUGAGUUGCAGAGAGACCCCAGGGGUAUUGGGCAGGGGGGCUGACUUUCUCUAGGGAUUUAACUUAUGAC